This 497-nucleotide ribosomal RNA is filed under the name uncultured bacterium. RNAcentral describes it as "partial 16S ribosomal RNA". It matches the Rfam family "Bacterial small subunit ribosomal RNA", at positions 28 to 507 of the family's 1533-position model. The record is from RNAcentral.
GAUGAACGCUGGCGGCAGGCCUAAUACAUGCAAGUCGAGCGGACGAACGAAGAUCUUUCUCCUCUUAAGUUACCGACGGACGGGUGAUUAAUACGUAUCUAACCGACCUAUAAGGCUAACGUAACUUCGGGAAACCUAAUCUAAUACCGGAUAAUAUGUUGAACGUCAUGGUUCAAUGGUGAAAGAGGUAUUUGCUGUCACUUAUACAUAUAUCCUGGUCGCAUUAGCUAGUUGGUACGGUAACGGCCUACCAAGGCGACGAUGCGUAGCCGAUCUGAGAGGGUGAUCAGCCACACUGGAACUGAGACACGGUCCAGACUCCUACGGGAGGCAGCAGUAGGGAAUAUUCGGCAAUGGGCGAAAGCCUGAUGGAGCCAUGCCGCGUGAGUGAAGAAGGUCUUCGGAUUGUAAAACUCUGUAAGUAGGGAAGAAGAAAAGUGUAAGUAAAUCUGGCCGUUUUGACGGUACCAACUGAGAAAGCACCGGCUAACUACGUG